GCCGCCAUGGCGGCGCUGCACGCCAAGGCGGGCGGCCCCCCGCAGAUCCCCGACACGCGGCGCGAGCUGGCGGAGCUGGUGAAGCGCAAGCAGGAGCUGGCGGAGACGCUGGCCAACCUGGAGCGGCAGAUCUACGCGUUCGAGGGCAGCUACCUGGAGGACACGCAGAUGUACGGGAACAUCAUCCGCGGCUGGGACCGCUACCUCACCAACCAGAAGAACUCCAACAGCAAGAACGACCGCAGGAACCGCAAGUUCAAGGAGGCCGAGCGGCUCUUCAGCAAGUCCUCCGUCACCUCGGCCGCGGCGGUCAGUGCAUUAGCUGGAGUCCAAGACCAGCUCAUUGAGAAGCGGGAGCCAGGCAGUGGGACAGAAAGUGACACUUCCCCCGAUUUCCACAAUCAAGAGAAUGAGCCCAGCCAGGAGGAUGCUGAAGAGCUGGAUGGCUCUGUGCAGGGGGUGAAGCCCCAGAAAGCUGCUUCCUCCACUUCCUCUGGCAGCCACCACAGCAGCCACAAAAAAAGGAAGAACAAAAAUCGACACAGGUAUGUAUAUUAGGUUAGGCUGGGAAGUUUUUUUUAAAAACAGAAAAGCGUGAUGGAGGAUUGAUCUCAAGUUAAACAAAAAGCCAAGAGCCGACUACUAGACUCAUCAGUGCUGAAGCGCCCGGGAUUUAGGUCUGUGCGACUCCCCACCGAGCAAAUGCAACUCAACUGCAUGAGCCUGAUGGCAGCUCUGUGGCCAAGCACCUGCAUAUAGGAGUGCUUCACUCUCAAGAACUCAGAUAGGGGGGAAAUAGUCCUGGACCAUGUACUUUGCAUCAUUUUCAAAUCACCCAAGUUGCAACAAGACGAAGGUGUGGUAGGGGCAGUCUUGGGCGCCGGAGCAUUCUGUGCUUCCAGCUCAGUGGGGAAUUUCCUACAGCUGGCUCAUACCCCUGUCAUCUGUAACUGCAAUGGGGAGAUAUUUGCUUUUCCACUGGAAUCAGGGUAUGGUUCUGUAUGUCCCAUCCACAUUGUAAGACCGGUCAGUUACUUUUGAUAGUGCUAUUUAGCUGUGUCGUUUUUGUUUUCUUUUUUUAAUCUGAAGUGUGUAGUUAAUUGGCUUUUGUUUGUUUUAAUCCAUAUAGAGAGGAAGGGUCUUCAUUUUGUGGAACAACCCAUUUGAAUUCUUAUUCAAGCAGAGACGAAGGUGGUUUAACCCUUUUCUCUGAUUUUAUUUUAAACAGGAACCCUUAAAAGUGUGUGUAGUGCUUUUAGAUACAAGGAGGGCUGAGCUCAAAGCCAUCUUGCUCUUUGCUGUCUUUGAGGUUGGGUGUGUUCUCUUUUUAAUACAAUCCUCUGUCAUUUGUACAUAAACAAUAAAUGUUUCAUCUUUG
This is an RNA transcript of Nothoprocta perdicaria, 1378 nucleotides long. It is a transcript of the gene named MYST/Esa1 associated factor 6, with no coding region annotated. Lineage: Eukaryota; Metazoa; Chordata; Aves; Tinamiformes; Tinamidae. The record is from RefSeq and is a predicted model, not a curated record. The transcript has 8 exons.